CAUCCCGAACUCAGAAGUGAAACGAAACAGCGUCGAUGGUAGUGUGGGGUCUCCCCAUGUGAGAGUAGAACAUCGCCAGGCU
RNAcentral lists this ribosomal RNA (82 nucleotides) under Vibrio cholerae O1 str. NHCC-008D. The record is from RNAcentral. Lineage: Bacteria; Pseudomonadati; Pseudomonadota; Gammaproteobacteria; Vibrionales; Vibrionaceae.